RNAcentral lists this ribosomal RNA (254 nucleotides) under uncultured bacterium. RNAcentral's name for it is "partial 16S ribosomal RNA". It matches the Rfam family "Bacterial small subunit ribosomal RNA", at positions 524 to 776 of the family's 1533-position model. The record is from RNAcentral.
UACGUAGGGAGCGAGCGUUGUCCGGAUUUAUUGGGCGUAAAGAGCGCGUAGGCGGCUCGGUAAGCCGGAUGUGAAACCUCCAAGCUCAACUUGGAGCGGCCAUUCGGAACUGCUGUGGCUAGAGUCUGGUAGGGGAACACGGAAUUCCUGGUGUAGCGGUGAAAUGCUUAGAUAUCAGGAGGAACACCAGUGGCGAAGGCGGUGUUCUGGGCCAGUACUGACGCUGAGGCACGAAAGCGUGGGGAGCGAACAGG